GCAGCAGCCAGGUAAUACAGAGGGUGCGAGCGUUAAUCGGAUUUACUGGGCGUAAAGCGUGCGUAGGCGGCUUCUUAAGUCGGAUGUGAAAUCCCUGAGCUUAACUUAGGAAUUGCAUUCGAUACUGGGAAGCUAGAGUAUGGGAGAGGAUGGUAGAAUUCCAGGUGUAGCGGUGAAAUGCGUAGAGAUCUGGAGGAAUACCGAUGGCGAAGGCAGCCAUCUGGCCUAAUACUGACGCUGAGGUACGAAAGCAUGGGGAGCAAACAGGAUUAGAUACCCGCGUAGUCCCUGUCUCUUAUACA
RNAcentral lists this ribosomal RNA (302 nucleotides) under uncultured bacterium. RNAcentral describes it as "partial 16S ribosomal RNA". It matches the Rfam family "Bacterial small subunit ribosomal RNA", at positions 511 to 808 of the family's 1533-position model. The record is from RNAcentral.